UACGAAGGGGACUAGCGUUGUUCGGAAUCACUGGGCGUAAAGGGCGCGUAGGCGGGUCUUUAAGUCGGGGGUGAAAUCCUGGAGCUCAACUCCAGAACUGCCUUCGAUACUGGAAGACUCGAGUCCGGGAGAGGUGAGUGGAACUGCGAGUGUAGAGGUGAAAUUCGUAGAUAUUCGCAAGAACACCAGUGGCGAAGGCGGCUCACUGGCCCGGUACUGACGCUGAGGUGGCGAAAGCGUGGGGAGCAAACAGG
Molecule: ribosomal RNA, 254 nt
Filed under: uncultured bacterium
Lineage: Bacteria
Description: partial 16S ribosomal RNA
Rfam family: Bacterial small subunit ribosomal RNA
Source: RNAcentral